UCUUGGGGAAGCUGGUUCUGGCAGACAAGGUUCACUGGUGAGCGCCCAAGCUGAGCGUCAUGGGUGAGGCCACUUCACAAAAGUGACCCCUUCAGAGAAGAUCUAGGGAGGGGGACUGGAGGAAAGACAAGGACAAGAAGCAGGUUUUUAAAGAGCUUCAGAUGACUGGCAGAUUUAUCAGGUUCAGUGAACACUCCAAUCUAGUGGAUCUCAGAUGAAGCAUCAUGUGGACCUCCUCCUCAAAAGCAAGCAGCAACACUUUUAAAUGUGCAAGCUUUUUCAACGAGACAGUAUGCCUUAUUCCUCAAAAUAUUUGAGGGAACCAGUGAGAAAGAUCCUGCUGUGCAGGAAACCCUGAUGCAAUGCAUUUACAAAGGAUACUCCAGAAUGAAAGAGUAUGAUUGACACGCUACAAAGCAUGCAAACAGAGUGCACAAAUGCAGACAUACUGACAGCGUUAUAAGGGCUUCAUGAGAAUCAUAUGUCACUGAAGCAAGCUUGGAAGCUGGGGAAAGCUGUACUUGUAUGAAAUAGUGAACGAAUAUGAGGAUUCCAAACACAUGAUAUGUAUAAACCAAAUUCAUGCCACAUUUUAAUUUUAAGGCAAAGUGAGUGUAAUGAUUUUUCCACCAACUUUGUUAAAACUUUCACUGAAUAUAAACAUUCUGAUUUAAAAGAUGCCAUGGAUAGCAUAAAUAAGCAGUUUGCCAUUUGUAGUGCAAACUCGUGGACUCGUCGCUCCUCAGAUACUGCUGUUGUCAGUGAAGGCAAUGCUGACAUGUGUUAUCCCAUCUGUGACCAGGUACAGCUUUGAAUAAAAUGACAAUGAAAUGAUAAUAAGUCUCACUGAAACCAGUUUCCUGUGGUCUAUGACCAUCUCCAAGCAACGUCUUGAAACCUCUCUCCAACGACUUUCCCUACGAGGAAUACUGUUAUUGGUUCUUUUAAAUUCUGCGAAUUCUGAGUAAUGUUCAGCACAAACACAAAGAUUUUUUGGAAAAUUUGCCAUAGGUAUACCAUACCAGUCAAAAGGUCAGACACACCUUCUCAUUUAAUGGUUUUCCUUUAUUUUUACUACUUUCUACAUUGUAGAUACAUACUGAAGACAUCAAACAAAUAAAGCAAGUUAUAAGGAAUUAUGUAGCAAAGAAAAC
Long non-coding RNA from Oreochromis niloticus (Nile tilapia), 1154 nucleotides. RefSeq lists it as uncharacterized. The transcript has 3 exons. Lineage: Eukaryota; Metazoa; Chordata; Actinopteri; Cichliformes; Cichlidae. The record is from RefSeq and is a predicted model, not a curated record.